Molecule: ribosomal RNA, 497 nt
Filed under: uncultured bacterium
Lineage: Bacteria
Description: partial 16S ribosomal RNA
Rfam family: Bacterial small subunit ribosomal RNA
Source: RNAcentral
GAUGAACGCUGGCGGCGUGCCUAAUACAUGCAAGUCGAGCGAACAGACGAGGAGCUUGCUCCUCUGACGUUAGCGGCGGACGGGUGAGUAACACGUGGAUAACCUACCUAUAAGACUGGGAUAACUUCGGGAAACCGGAGCUAAUACCGGAUAAUAUAUUGAACCGCAUGGUUCAAUAGUGAAAGACGGUUUUGCUGUCACUUAUAGAUGGUUCCGCGCCGCAUUAGCUAGUUGGGAAGGUAAAGGCUUACCAAGGCAACGAUGCGUAGCCGACCUGGAGGGGUGAUCGGCCACACUGGAACUGAGACACGGUCCAGACUCCUACGGGAGGCAGCAGUAGGGAAUCUUCCGCAAUGGGCGAAAGCCUGACGGAGCAACGCCGCGUGAGUGAUGAAGGUCUUCGGAUCGUAAAACUCUGUUAUUAGGGAAGAACAAAUGUGUAAGUAACUAUGCACGUCUUGACGGUACCUAAUCAGAAAGCCACGGCUAACUACGUG